RNAcentral lists this long non-coding RNA (877 nucleotides) under Bos grunniens (domestic yak). Its description in RNAcentral is "lncRNA (ENSBGRG00000002200.1)". Lineage: Eukaryota; Metazoa; Chordata; Mammalia; Artiodactyla; Bovidae. The record is from RNAcentral.
ACAUCUUUGGCUCUGCCUGGAGCAGAAGCAUUCUUCAGCUUUUCCUCCAACAUCACCACCCUAAGCUUUUAACCUUUCUGGUUCCAACUGUUUGGAUGUCGUUGCUCUUUCCUUAUUUCUUGGCCAGUUGUCCCUUUCCUGAGAAUUUCCCUAGAGACUUGAUGUUCUGCUCUGCAGCACGCUUUGCCACCUGCUGCAGGGGAAAUAAUCCUCAGUCUAAAGCGAGAUGCAUUUGGCAUUGUUUAUGGGAGAGGAUGGAGGGCUUACAGGCUCGUGGUGCGAAGGUAAACACGGAGUAACACGGAUAAGCCUAGGGCUAGAUUCAAAACACUGUGCAAUCCUGGCUCCGGCUGGAACUUUGGAGAAACCAUUUAGGCUGACUAAACCUGGACGCCUUCAUCUCAGAAGGAGAAAUUUUUGAGAUGAGCUUUGAGGUUCUUUUUUCCAACUACUGGCUUCACGAAUCCCGCUGGGCCUGGUGCCUGGGUGCUGCAUCCUGGGGAGACGAGGGUAAGCGGAGGGUGGGGCUCUCUUUCUUGGGGACCUUGACCCCCCUCCCUUUCUCUCCCCUCCCGGGUUGCCGGGGGCCCAGCCACGUGCAGGCUGUGGCGGGGGAGCCACGGGGGAGAGCGCUGGGUCAGCAGCACCAGGCAGCUCCUGGCUGGCUCCCCGGGUUGGCUUUGCUCAAGGCGAGAGCUGUCAACUCUGCCCUUUUGAAAAUGAGCAACAAAGGGGAAAAGAAAGAAAAGAGAAAGGGAAGUGGGGGAGCCCAGGGUGGGAGUCGGGGGGAGGCCAGGGCUGGGAGAACAGGUGGGGACUAUUUAAACAGAAGGCCUGACUCAGCCGUUUUCUUUCACUGAGUUUCCAAAGGACUGUU